Molecule: long non-coding RNA, 2012 nt
Filed under: Apis mellifera (honey bee)
Lineage: Eukaryota; Metazoa; Arthropoda; Insecta; Hymenoptera; Apidae
Description: uncharacterized LOC102654762
Source: RNAcentral
CUGCACCUGGUAGCGUUGCAUACGUGUACGGUGUCACGUAACUCGCUGCCGCUGCAUUCGCUGCAAAAAGAAAGAAAAGAAAAAAAGAAGUAAAGAGCAGGAAAAAUAUGGCGUGGAAGUGCGAGCGAUGGUCGAUACGCGGCGCUAGUGUCGCGUCUCAGGUGGCCAUAUUGUUAAUCCACCAUGAUCGACUGGCCCUACGGAUAAUCACACUUGCCGUUCGAGGCGACCCGUGGUCCAUCGAGUUCGAUCAAUCUCGUCUUUUCGAGGAGAUGACGAUAGUAAUAAUAAAUAGUUAAAGGAGAGAAGUGUCGCCGAUGGACAACCGGAAGCUCGAACCUUUUCUCGUCCUGUGCGGUUAAGUUAAGAGAACUUGGAGAAGAGGGAAAGGAGGGGAUUUUAACCAAUGCGUGUAUACAGAGUGUAAAUAGUGGGAUGUCUUCGCGCGUGCGAUCCCCUGCUAGGUGUGCGGAGGAGUGAGUUAAAACGCGAAUAAUGCAACCCUUUCCACCAUUCCUAUUCCCUUUCCCUCGCAAUUAAGAUAAACGGUUUAUUGGAAAAGCGUUUGCCCCUAACUUUCUCGAAUAUAGAUAACACGACGCGAACGCUAAUGGGCUCGGACCCUUUACGAGACACUUACGAGGACUAUACACGCGUAUUUAUGUUUCUCGUGGCCUAUAUAUCUCCCCUCCCUCGAUUCGAAAUGUUUCUUUUCUUCCAACGAGAGUUUCCUUUUCUUUUUGAAGUUUCUUUUUUUUUCAGAAAAGUAUAGAGGGAUAAAAUUUUUUUUUUCUUUUUAUGAAACAAGACGUUGUGAAGGAAAGAAUUGUAAAAAUUUAAGUUGUAUUGUUUGUAUUUCGAAAAAAAACGUGUGUGUGUGUACUGAUAUUUUCCAACAUGAGAAAAAUGAAUGAUCCGUGUUCGUAUUCCUUUAUAAAAAGAAAAAGAAAACACGUGUGGCUGAAUUAAUAAUCAAUUCUGUGUUAUUUGAAACUGUACUUUGAUAUAACAUUCGAUAACCGUGAAUCUGAGAGUAUUAUCCGCGUUCUAUGCCGUCAUACGAAUGCUACUUUUACGUGUACCAUUGCAAUGAUAUAUCAAACGAUAAUAAACGCCGAGUAAUAAAUGUGCGCGCGUCUGUGUCCUGUGUCUGUGUCCUGUUGUGUGCGCGCGUGUUCGUGUGGAAAGAAAUUAUUCGAUGCGAGAAAAAGGACAAAAGGGAGUGAGGUGGGGGGAGGAGGACAGGUGGACGGGAAGCGAACGCGUUAUGAAAAUGGUGACAGAGUGUGGUAUCGCUAAGGCGUGACGUUAAAAGAAAAGAAAAGAAAAGAAAAAAAAAAAAAAAAAAAAGAAUGCGCAACAAAUCCAAUGAAAAGAGAAAAAAAAAAUAGGAAAGAAAAGAAAAAGAAAAGAAAAAGAAAAUAGAAAAAUCCUCAAUGUGUCGGCAAAACAACAACAAACCAACGACAAACGUGUGUAAUAGUCAGGUCAUUUCCAUCGAAUGAUAAUGAUACUUCUCGAUACUUCACGGCACACGAUUAACCUAACACCAACGUUAGUACAUAAUUUACUCUAAUAAAAUUCACAAAAGAAAAAAGAAAAAAGUGUAUAAUACGUUCCAAUACAGUGGCAGUGCCUCUGUCUCUAUCUCUUUUCCCCUCUUUUUCUUUCUUUCUUUCUUUCUCUCUUUCUCUCUUUCUUUCUUUUUCUUCAACGCACAAUACCGGAUCAUCGCGCGCCCGUUAAAAAAAAACUUCGCCGCCCCGACUCGUUUCUCACUUCAACCUGUUCUCCAAUUUAUCGCAAAAAGGAUCGCGUUUCCUUUACGGGCCGACGACGGGACGAACGUCAAACUCGAUCAUCGACCAAAUUUUUCUAUGUGUAUAUAUAAAAUAUAUAUAUAUAUAUAUAUAUACACACGAUAAAUUUGGCGAUUUCGUUCUCGCAAAAAAUUAAUUCUUGUUGAACUUCGACUAAUUGAAAUGGUGAAUAAAAUAAUUUUUUUUUUUUUU